This 252-nucleotide ribosomal RNA is filed under the name uncultured Actinomycetales bacterium. RNAcentral's name for it is "partial 16S ribosomal RNA". It matches the Rfam family "Bacterial small subunit ribosomal RNA", at positions 79 to 334 of the family's 1533-position model. Lineage: Bacteria; Bacillati; Actinomycetota; Actinomycetes; Actinomycetales. The record is from RNAcentral.
CUUGCAGGGUACUCGAGUGGCGAACGGGUGAGUAACACGUGGGUGAUCUGCCCUGUACUUCGGGAUAAGCUUGGGAAACUGGGUCUAAUACCGGAUAGGAACCAUCUUUAGUGUGGUGGUUGGAAAGUUUUUUCGGUGUAGGAUGAGCUCGCGGCCUAUCAGCUUGUUGGUGGGGUAAUGGCCUACCAAGGCGGCGACGGGUAGCCGGCCUGAGAGGGUGUACGGCCACAUUGGGACUGAGAUACGGCCCAG